UUUUUUAUAUAUAUAUUUAUUUAAAAUUUUUCAAAAUAGUUAAAUUGAAUAGGGGCAAUUACUUGUAUAUUUCUAAAAAGUUUUAAACUUUCUUAUUUACCUUCCUUAGAAGGUUAAUAUAAAAAAUACAUUUUUUUUAACGUUCUAAGUUCUUUCAAAUAUAUCUCGAAAGUUAAAUUCUGUUAGUGGACUAUAAAAAACAGCCGUUAUUUCUAUGAAAUUACUAUUUUGUCCUUUUAAUUAUAUCCUUCUAUCGUCAUUAACUUUUCUGGUAUUGAGAUCUAUCUAACGCUGUUAGAUAAAAUGGAGUUAGAAAAAAACAUAUAGGGAUAUGCUUUGGGAUAUGCUUCUGCGUUCUCCGGUGGGACUGCGGAAAAUAUAUCACAACCGACUCAUCACAAUAUGGGUAACGCACGGAAACAAAUAGGGUAUUUUUUCCUCGUAUUUUCUCACCGCACGUAACACAAUCUUCCCGCAAUCCCAAACGAAGCCUAAAUUAAUUAGGGGCAAAAAUAAUAUUUUAACUUUUGCAAAGAUAUCAUUCUAUCGUCACCAACUUAUUAAUAUUUAUUUUUAAGUUAGGGACAAAAGAUAUAUUUUGAUUUUUUUUUAACUCUGAUAAACAUUUAACCCGAAUUUAAUCUGAGAUGACUUAACGAGUUAACAGAUACUAACAAUAAGUUAUUUUUGAAUAAUAGAAAAAUAUAUGAGAAAUAUAUUUAAAACCAAAAAAGAUAAAGAUAUAUAAGAUAUUUUAAGAGGUGUAUAA
This 769-nucleotide long non-coding RNA is filed under the name Ananas comosus (pineapple). RNAcentral's name for it is "long non-coding RNA (ACOM_LNC034299)". Lineage: Eukaryota; Viridiplantae; Streptophyta; Magnoliopsida; Poales; Bromeliaceae. The record is from RNAcentral.